UACGGAGUUACAAAGGACGACAUUAGACGAAUCAUCUGGAAAGAUGAAUCAAAGAAGGUAAUAAUCCUGUAGUCGAAAAUGUUGUCUCUCUUGAGUGGAUCCUGAGUACGACGGAGCACGUGAAAUUCCGUCGGAAUCUGGGAGGACCAUCUCCUAAGGCUAAAUACUCUCUAGUGACCGAUAGUGAACCAGUACCGUGAGGGAAAGGUGAAAAGCACCCCGGAAGGAGAGUGAAAUAGAACCUGAAACCGUGUGCUUACAAGUAGUCAGAGCCCGUUAAUGGGUGAUGGCGUGCCUUUUGUAGAAUGAACCGGCGAGUUACGAUUUGAUGCAAGGUUAAGCAGUAAAUGUGGAGCCGUAGCGAAAGCGAGUCUGAAUAGGGCGUUUAGUAUUUGGUCGUAGACCCGAAACCAGGUGAUCUACCCUUGGUCAGGUUGAAGUUCAGGUAACACUGAAUGGAGGACCGAACCGACUUACGUUGAAAAGUGAGCGGAUGAACUGAGGGUAGCGGAGAAAUUCCAAUCGAACCUGGAGAUAGCUGGUUCUCUCCGAAAUAGCUUUAGGGCUAGCCUCAAGUGAUGAUUAUUGGAGGUAGAGCACUGUUUGGACGAGGGGCCCCUCUCGGGUUACCGAAUUCAGACAAACUCCGAAUGCCAAUUAAUUUAACUUGGGAGUCAGAACAUGGGUGAUAAGGUCCGUGUUCGAAAGGGAAACAGCCCAGACCACCAGCUAAGGUCCCAAAAUAUAUGUUAAGUGGAAAAGGAUGUGGCGUUGCCCAGACAACUAGGAUGUUGGCUUAGAAGCAGCCAUCAUUUAAAGAGUGCGUAAUAGCUCACUAGUCGAGUGACACUGCGCCGAAAAUGUACCGGGGCUAAACAUAUUACCGAAGCUGUGGAUUGUCCUUUGGACAAUGGUAGGAGAGCGUUCUAAGGGCGUUGAAGCAUGAUCGUAAGGACAUGUGGAGCGCUUAGAAGUGAGAAUGCCGGUGUGAGUAGCGAAAGACGGGUGAGAAUCCCGUCCACCGAUUGACUAAGGUUUCCAGAGGAAGGCUCGUCCGCUCUGGGUUAGUCGGGUCCUAAGCUGAGGCCGACAGGCGUAGGCGAUGGAUAACAGGUUGAUAUUCCUGUACCACCUAUAAUCGUUUUAAUCGAUGGGGGGACGCAGUAGGAUAGGCGAAGCGUGCGAUUGGAUUGCACGUCUAAGCAGUAAGGCUGAGUAUUAGGCAAAUCCGGUACUCGUUAAGGCUGAGCUGUGAUGGGGAGAAGACAUUGAGUCUUCGAGUCGUUGAUUUCACACUGCCGAGAAAAGCCUCUAGAUAGAAAAUAGGUGCCCGUACCGCAAACCGACACAGGUAGUCAAGAUGAGAAUUCUAAGGUGAGCGAGCGAACUCUCGUUAAGGAACUCGGCAAAAUGACCCCGUAACUUCGGGAGAAGGGGUGCUCUUUAGGGUUAACGCCCAGAAGAGCCGCAGUGAAUAGGCCCAAGCGACUGUUUAUCAAAAACACAGGUCUCUGCUAAACCGUAAGGUGAUGUAUAGGGGCUGACGCCUGCCCGGUGCUGGAAGGUUAAGAGGAGUGGUUAGCUUCUGCGAAGCUACGAAUCGAAGCCCCAGUAAACGGCGGCCGUAACUAUAACGGUCCUAAGGUAGCGAAAUUCCUUGUCGGGUAAGUUCCGACCCGCACGAAAGGCGUAACGAUUUGGGCACUGUCUCAACGAGAGACUCGGUGAAAUCAUAGUACCUGUGAAGAUGCAGGUUACCCGCGACAGGACGGAAAGACCCCGUGGAGCUUUACUGUAGCCUGAUAUUGAAAUUCGGCACAGCUUGUACAGGAUAGGUAGGAGCCUUUGAAACGUGAGCGCUAGCUUACGUGGAGGCGCUGGUGGGAUACUACCCUAGCUGUGUUGGCUUUCUAACCCGCACCACUUAUCGUGGUGGGAGACAGUGUCAAGCGGGCAGUUUGACUGGGGCGGUCGCCUCCUAAAAGGUAACGGAGGCGCUCAAAGGUUCCCUCAGAAUGGUUGGAAAUCAUUCAUAGAGUGUAAAGGCAUAAGGGAGCUUGACUGCGAGACCUACAAGUCGAGCAGGGUCGAAAGACGGACUUAGUGAUCCGGUGGUUCCGCAUGGAAGGGCCAUCGCUCAACGGAUAAAAGCUACCCCGGGGAUAACAGGCUUAUCUCCCCCAAGAGUUCACAUCGACGGGGAGGUUUGGCACCUCGAUGUCGGCUCAUCGCAUCCUGGGGCUGUAGUCGGUCCCAAGGGUUGGGCUGUUCGCCCAUUAAAGCGGUACGCGAGCUGGGUUCAGAACGUCGUGAGACAGUUCGGUCCCUAUCCGUCGUGGGCGUAGGAAAUUUGAGAGGAGCUGUCCUUAGUACGAGAGGACCGGGAUGGACAUACCUCUGGUGUACCAGUUGUCGUGCCAACGGCAUAGCUGGGUAGCUAUGUGUGGACGGGAUAAGUGCUGAAAGCAUCUAAGCAUGAAGCCCCCCUCAAGAUGAGAUUUCCCAACUUCGGUUAUAAGAUCCCUCAAAGAUGAUGAGGUUAAUAGGUUCGAGGUGGAAGCAUGGUGACAUGUGGAGCUGACGAAUACUAAUCGAUCGAAGACUUAAUCAA
This 2611-nucleotide ribosomal RNA is filed under the name Staphylococcus aureus DAR3576. Its description in RNAcentral is "bacterial LSU rRNA". It matches the Rfam family "Bacterial large subunit ribosomal RNA", at positions 309 to 2925 of the family's 2925-position model. The record is from RNAcentral. Lineage: Bacteria; Bacillati; Bacillota; Bacilli; Caryophanales; Staphylococcaceae. RNAcentral also lists the same sequence under 1 other name.